UGUAUAUGUGACUGUGGCCUAAAUGAGAGAAAUGUGGGCCAUUAUCAUAGAGGUCUUACUCAUAGAAGAAGAAAUUAGUGACUUUUGUUUACUAUGACUACAAAGCAGUUAUUACCUUGUCAUGCUUAUAAAAAGUUGUAAUUAAUUUAUAAAAUUGUUUUCUUAUAUUAAAUAAUGGUGAAUGCACUGA
Leptidea sinapis is the source of this 190-nucleotide long non-coding RNA. RefSeq lists it as uncharacterized. Lineage: Eukaryota; Metazoa; Arthropoda; Insecta; Lepidoptera; Pieridae. The transcript is spliced from 2 exons. The record is from RefSeq and is a predicted model, not a curated record.